Molecule: ribosomal RNA, 490 nt
Filed under: uncultured bacterium
Lineage: Bacteria
Description: partial 16S ribosomal RNA
Rfam family: Bacterial small subunit ribosomal RNA
Source: RNAcentral
GAUGAACGCUAGCGAUAGGCUUAACACAUGCAAGUCGAGGGGCAGCAUGGUCUUAGCUUGCUAAGACUGAUGGCGACCGGCGCACGGGUGCGUAACGCGUAUGCAACUUGCCUCACAGAGGGGGAUAACCCGUCGAAAGACGGACUAAUACCGCGUACACUCCAUCUUGGGCAUCCAAGGUAGAGGAAAUGAAAUUCGCUGUGAGAUAGGCAUGCGUCCCAUUAGCUAGUUGGUGAGGUAACGGCUCACCAAGGCGACGAUGGGUAGGGGAACUGAGAGGUUGAACCCCCACACUGGUACUGAGACACGGACCAGACUCUUACGGGAGGCAGCAGUGAGGAAUAUUGGGCAAUGGGCGAGAGCCUGAACCAGCCAAGUCGCGUGAAGGAUGACUGUCUUAUGGAUUGUAAACUUCUUUUAUACGGGAAUAACAAGAGUCACGUGUGACUCCCUGCAUGUACCGUAUGAAUAAGCAUCGGCUAACUCCGUG